GUUAGGCCUAGCCAGCAGCGCCAGGUGGAGGUCUGGCUGUUGGUCUCCUCCAUAGGCUGCUCCUCAGGAAGGCCUGCUUGUCCUUCCUGUCCUCGAUUGUGGUGGGGAAGGAGGUUAGGCCAAACCAGGAGUGCCGUCUGGAGGUCUGGCUUUUGGUCUGCUACAUGGCCUGCUCCUCAGGAAGGACCUUUUGUUCUUUGUGUCCUCGAUCCUGGCAUGGCUGGAGGUUAGGCCAAACCAUCAGAGGCUGGUGGAGGUCUGGCUCUUGGUCUCCUCCACAGGCUGCUCCUCAGGAAGGACCUGGUUGUGCUUUGUGUCCUUGAACCUGACAGGGCAGGACGUUAGGCCAAACCAGCAGCGUCAGGUUGAGAUCUGGCUGUUGGUCUCCUCCACAGGCUGCUCCUUAGGAAGGACUGGGUUGUUCUUCCUGUCCUUGAUCCUGACAGGGCAGGAGGUCAGGCUUAACCAGCAGUGCCAGGUGGAGAUCUGGCUGUUGGUCUCCUCCAUAGGCUGCUCCUCAGGAAGGGCCUCGUUG
This 535-nucleotide long non-coding RNA is filed under the name Gallus gallus (chicken). Its description in RNAcentral is "lncRNA (ENSGALG00010003732.1)". The record is from RNAcentral. Lineage: Eukaryota; Metazoa; Chordata; Aves; Galliformes; Phasianidae.